Homo sapiens (human) is the source of this 772-nucleotide long non-coding RNA. The record is from Ensembl. Lineage: Eukaryota; Metazoa; Chordata; Mammalia; Primates; Hominidae.
AUGGUAACAGAGCCAUCUGGCUUUCUUGCCUGGCACCAGACCUUAUGACUUCAUGAUGGAAUCUUCUCUCAGCAGGCAGAGGGGGAUUUGCCAGGGUAAAGAGGAGGCUGGGAGGAAGAGGCCUGCCGAGGGAGGCUUUGUCUUUUCAGCCAGAGUUUGACAAUUAGGCUUCAUCAUGUCACGAUGCGGUGCUACUGCUGACCCCAAAACACAACGCCGGAAGUGGUGCUCACUAGAGACUAUGUGUCAGAACUGUGACGCUGAAUCCGGAGCCCCAACCUCUCCUAGCCUCCUAGAGGAGGAUGACCCAGGACCCUUGUCCUCCCAACAGCAGGCCACCAGUUCAAGGGACAAGAAGCCCCUAAGCUCCCUCCACCUUUCACAUAGGGCCCAGGUGGCCUUGGAGUACCUGCCUUUCUUCUGCACCUAUGGGUGCCUCCUGGAAGAGGAGGGGUUGGUCCUGCAGCCCAAGACACCGCUCCAGGAGGACUCAGAACUGCUCAGUGGGUUCUUCCCUUACUACCGCUCUGAGGAGGAGAGUUUGCCCAGCCUGGCCCUUCCUGGCUGGUCACACAGGGGCUCCCAAGAUCUGCCCACUGAGAAGGAGGCACGGGCUGGCUGCUUCUGCAGGACAACAGUCAGGGACGAAUGCUCUCCUGACCCAAGCUCAGACAGAGGAAGCAGGAGCCACCUGAACAACUGAAGGGUGCAGACACCCAGAAGCUGGUUUUGUAAAUAAAUCGUGCACCUUGGCGCUGGUGCACUAAUUGGA